AUACGGAGGAUCCGAGCGUUAUCCGGAUUUAUUGGGUUUAAAGGGUGCGCAGGCGGCCAUUUAAGUCAGCGGUUAAAUCGUGGGGCUCAACCCCAUUCUGCCGUUGAUACUGGGUGGCUUGAGUACAGUAGAGGCAGGCCGAAUUCGUGGUGUAUCGGGGAAAUGCUUAGAUAUCACGAAGAACUCCGAUUGCGAAGGCAGCCUGCUGGACUGUAACUGACGCUGAUGCUCGAAAGGGUGGGUAUCAAACAGGAUUAGAUACCCUGGUAGUCCACACAGUAAACGAUGAAUACUCGCUGUUUGCGAUAUACAGUAAGCGGCCAAGCGAAAGCGUUAAGUAUUCCACCUGGGGAGUACGCCGGCAACGGUGAAACUCAAAUGAAUUGGCGGGG
RNAcentral lists this ribosomal RNA (392 nucleotides) under uncultured bacterium. RNAcentral describes it as "partial 16S ribosomal RNA". It matches the Rfam family "Bacterial small subunit ribosomal RNA", at positions 523 to 918 of the family's 1533-position model. The record is from RNAcentral.